ACAGUUGAGAAGGAGGUUGUUUCCCUGGGAACGGGGACCAAAUGUAUCGGACAGACAGCCAUGAGUCCCUCUGGUGAAAUACUUAAUGACAGCCAUGCAGAAGUCAUUGCAAGAAGGGGGUGUGUCAGGUACCUGAUCCAGGAGCUGCACAGGGCCGUGAGUGGGAGGGGCAGCGCUGUGUUCUGUCAGGCGGAGGAGCAGGGGAAGUGGAGGCUUCAUCCUGGAGUGUCCUUCCUCUUCUUCACCAGUCACACUC
Molecule: long non-coding RNA, 256 nt
Organism: Notothenia coriiceps (black rockcod)
Lineage: Eukaryota; Metazoa; Chordata; Actinopteri; Perciformes; Nototheniidae
Exons: 3
Source: RefSeq, a predicted model, not a curated record